UGGGGAAUAUUGCACAAUGGAGGGAACUCUGAUGCAGCAACGCCGCGUGCGGGAUGACGGCCUUCGGGUUGUAAACCGCUUUCAGCCAUGACGAAGCUUUUGUGACGGUAGUGGUAGAAGAAGCACCGGCUAACUACGUGCCAGCAGCCGCGGUGAUACGUAGGGUGCGAGCGUUGUCCGGAAUUAUUGGGCGUAAAGAGCUUGUAGGCGGUUUGUCGCGUCGAUAGUGUAAACACGCAGCUUAACUGUGUGCCCGCUGUCGAUACGGGCUGACUAGAGGAGGGUAGGGGAGAAUGGAAUUCCCGGUGGAGCGGUGGAAUGCGCAGAUAUCGGGAGGAACACCAGUGGCGAAGGCGGUUCUCUGGACCUUUCCUGACGCUGAGAAGCGAAAGCGUGGGUAGCAAACAGG
This 409-nucleotide ribosomal RNA is filed under the name Fusobacteriota bacterium. RNAcentral describes it as "Fusobacteria bacterium partial 16S ribosomal RNA". It matches the Rfam family "Bacterial small subunit ribosomal RNA", at positions 355 to 776 of the family's 1533-position model. Lineage: Bacteria; Fusobacteriati; Fusobacteriota. The record is from RNAcentral.